Molecule: long non-coding RNA, 1726 nt
Filed under: Capsicum annuum
Lineage: Eukaryota; Viridiplantae; Streptophyta; Magnoliopsida; Solanales; Solanaceae
Description: long non-coding RNA (CANN_LNC021906)
Source: RNAcentral
UCAAUAUAGAAGAUAUUAAAUUAAUUCAAAAAAUAAAAGAAAAAAUUAAAAAUAUAUCAGACCUAAAAAUUUCAUUAGAAUCAGAUUAUCUAAUCAUUCAAACCGACGGAAGUGAUUUAGGAUGGGGAGCUAUUUUAAAAGCACGACCUAAUAAAUACAGUAAUAAAAUUGAAGAACAAAUAUGUGGUUAUCAGAGUGGGGCAUAUAAAGAAAAAGGAAACAUGAGUGUUAUAGACCUAGAAGUAUUAGGUAUAAUAUAUGGGUUAAAUAGUUUUAAGUUAUAUAUUCUAAAUAAAGAGGAAAUUUUAGUUAGAACAGAUUGUAAAGCUAUAGUUAAAUUUCAUCAAAAAAUAAAUGACUAAACUAGUAGUAGAAGAAGAUGGGUAAAUUUUACAGACACCAUAUCUGUUUAUAAGAAUAUCGUAUUUGAACAUAUAAAAGGUAAAGAAAACGAAUUAGCAAACCAGUUAAGUAGAUUACAAUUGGGAAUAAAUAAAUAAGUUUAAUCCGAUUCAUUUGUUUUCAGUAUGAGACCAACAGGACAACCUCCUGCAGAUAAAGGCAAGGGCGUAGCUUCGUCUUCAGAUUCAUAUCAACAGACAAUGUUAGGUAAUUUAAAUUUUAGACCACUAGAAUCUUUAGAAACAAUGGAAAGAAUUCACUUCGGACCAUUUAACUUAAUUGCUUACCCUGAGAGUAACAUAUCAUUUAGAAUAAGACCAGACUACAUUCUAGAUAGACCCCAAAAGUAUUUAGUAGACAAUCUUUGGAUAUCUUAUAAUAGACAAAAUCGUAAUCAUUUUAUGGCAUCCAUGAAUUCUUUAUGCCAUUAUAUGGCAGAAAAAAGUAGGCCUAAGUCUAAAUAUUAUAUAGUCAUUCAUGGAAAGAUUAACGGAAUUUUUCAAACAUGGUUAGAAGUGCUAGAUUCAAUACAAGGUUUUAAAACCUCUCUUUUCAAAGGUUUUAAUGAUUUUAUCGAAGCCAAAAAUCAUUCUAGAGGAUAUUAGGACCAAACUAUUAUAUAUCACCAUCACUCAGACAGAACCCAGUUCAAAUACGUCAGUAUAAUUUAUAAAAAGAGACUAGAAAGAUUAUUUUCUGCAACCAUUGUUCUUCUAUGACGGAGAAUUUCAAGAAGCUAAAUGCUCAGAAAGAAUCACUCCUCAUGAAAAACACUAGAUUAAUAAAGCAGGUAUAAUUAUUAGAAGCAAGACUCACAAAUGUAAGCAAGACAGAUGCAAAAACACAGACUCAGAUACAGAGUUCUCCAUCUCCUCAAAAAAUGGAUGAGAAGGGUGUGCAUUUCCCACUAAAUGCUCAGAAAUCCUCUGUACCGGAUGUUGGUACAGCUAGUCUGAUUUAAACGGUGAUCGAUAAAGACAAAUCAAAACCGUUAAUGGCUGUCACUUUGCCAAAAAGUGAAGAUGAAGGAUGUUCUUCAUCAAAACAUAAGUUAGCAAAAUCAGGUAAUAAGAUUUUAAAGAAUUUAAUAACUAAAAGGAAAAAUAAAACAAUAAAGACUAUAAUUAAACAGACUUUAGACAAAUUCUUUAACAACCAGACACAAGAUAAACAUAUGAAUGGACAACCCACUACCAAUUCAGACAGAACUGUUUCAGAAAUAAAUAAUGCAGACAAUAAUUCUUCAAGAUCAGACGAAGAUGAUAGUACAGGGCAAUUGAGUCGAAACUCAUUCUUGAGUCAUUGUCUUCGUAUGGAUCCUGAG